Scylla paramamosain (green mud crab) is the source of this 2420-nucleotide RNA transcript. RefSeq lists it as uncharacterized. The record is from RefSeq and is a predicted model, not a curated record. The transcript has 7 exons. Lineage: Eukaryota; Metazoa; Arthropoda; Malacostraca; Decapoda; Portunidae.
AUCCCCGGGAAGCAACCCAGCCUCAGUGUUAUAUUGCAAGUCGAGGGGGAGGGUUGUGUGCAAAUCCGCUCCGAUGCGAAUCUAUUUGACCUGUGUCCGUGACCUUGCAUGGUGUCCGUGGCGAUAAAUAGGUGUGUUCUAGUGACCUUAAGGUGCGGAGAGGCGCGAAAGGCGUUAUGGAUACGGAAUUAAGGAAAUACUGGGGACAAAACACCAGACACAUAGGAGGAGUGUGUGUGCUUGGAGGACCUGAGCCACCUCCACCCCACCCCUGGGGCUUCCUGCCCCAGGAGGAGGAGGAGGAGGAGGAGGAGGAGGAGGAGGAGGAGACGCGGGUGCCCCCCGGGGGACGUGACAGCGGUGACGACGAGCCCCCCGUCCUGCACCCCCUGGCCCCCAAGCCCCACCCCACCUACCACCAGCCACACCAGUCCCCACAGCAGCCUCCGUCACCCGCCCCACACCAGGAGCACCUGCCCCAGGACUGCCUGCCCCGCCCCCACAAGACACCGCCCCCAGCCUCCCCUGUCCAGAAGGAGCGCGCCCCUCACAGGUCCCGCUCCCGCUCCCACUCCUGCUGCAGCACUGUGGCACUCAACAUAGCCACAGCAGGAGAGGCAGGGGAGAGCUCACACACACACACACACACACACACACACACACACACACACACACACACACACACACACACACACACACACACACACACACACACACACACAUUACUUAUAUAACUGUCACUAAUUACACACAAGUAAUUCUUUCACAGGCCAAUUAUCAACCCCCAAACUAACCCCCCUCCUCCCAACAGUUCCAUUACCCUUAUGAUGCAGCCAAGGGGACUGACGCCACCACCACCACCACCACCACCACCACCACCACCACCACCACCACCACCACCGCCACAACAAGGGUUAUUCAAGUGGGGAACAUGCUUCAGGUGUUGCCCCAAGAUGCCUCAGCCCCGCAGCCCCACUCCGCCAUGAUAGUGCAGGCAGGGAAUGUCAUACAGGUUGUUCCAGCUGACAACAUGCAGGUGUUAGGGGCAGAAGUUGUUGGAGUUGGUGGGAUCAUGCAAGUGGUCGGGGUCCCAGGCUCUCCCAAACCAGCUCCCCAUCUGUGCCUAUGCAGUGUCUGGCCAGCCACUUGUGUGUUUUGGGGACUCAGACCAGCAGAUUCCCACUGUUUAUCCACUGUUUGUCUUGAUGCAGUGUCUGGCCAGCCACUUGUGUGUUUUGGGGACUCAGACCAGCAGAUUCCCACUGUUUAUCCACUGUUUGUGUUGAUGCAGUGUCUGGCCAGCCACUUGUGUGUUUUGGGGACUCAGACCAAUAGAUUCCCACUGUUUAUCCACUGUUUGUGUUGAUGCAGUGUCUGGCCAGCCACUUGUGUGUUUUGGGGACUCAGACCAGCAGAUUCCCACUGUUUAUCCACUGUUUGUGUUGAUGCAGUGUCUGGCCAGCCACUAGUGUGUUUUGGGGACUCAGACCAGCAGAUUCCCACUGUUUAUCCACUGUUUGUGUUGAUGCAGUGUUUGGCCAGCCACUUGUGUGAGGCCACGUCAGAGGUGCCUGUGGUGGGGUCGCCAGUUCCGGAGUACGAGGUGGAGGAGGAAGAGGAAGAGGAGGACGAGGAGGAGGCACGGAUGAGGAAGAAGAAAAGAUCAUUAGCUGUAGCUCUCCCUCCAGCUGAUAAGGGGAUAUUAAUGAGGCCUUCCUACAGGUACUCUCCCAGCCGUGUCACAGCUGAUGAUGAUGAUGCCACCCCCCCCCCAGCCUGAGCCACCCUCCACCCACCCCAGCCCUCACCAAGCCUCCUCCAGUAACCACCACCACCACCACCACCACCAGCGACGUAACACCCCACCCCACCCCUCCCCAGACCACAGAUCCCAGACUGUUGGAUGUGACGCCACAAGACACAGGGCUUCGUAACACCAGUGCACGGUGAUCAAGACAACACUGGACCAGAAAGACGCAAAGUACAGGGAACAACACAGUGCUUCUUCAUUUUAGGUGAGCCAGAAUGAGCUUGUUAAACUGAGCGGCCUCUUCAAGUACCACUGGAACUGUUCGUCAGAGGAGGAGGAGGAGGAGGUAAGGGAGUGCGCCAAGACCCUUUACAGCGGUGCAAAGGAGUGGAGGGAGAUGAGGAGAAAUUUGAAAGAGAACAGAAGUAGAAUGACAUCAGAUAGCAGGAGUCCUUAGGAUUUAGCACAAUAAGAUCAAUAAUUCUCUUACAUGAGUGACCUAAAGUAAGGCAGUUUAGUCUGGCCUAACUUAACUGACCUACCUAUUUCUGUUAUGAGCUAAGAUAGGCUAUGUUAGGUUAUAUUAAAUUAUAUAAUUAUUAUUUUUUUUCAUCAUUAUUAUUAAAGAAAGGAAAUAGAACCGAGAAAAUAAAGUUAAAAAUUAUUGUUA